AGUCGUUGGUGGCACAACUUCCCAUUCCGGGCGGUUGGCUCACGCACAUAAAUGCAGAUACGCAAGUGCCAAAACCCGCCCAAAGAGGCGGGUUUUUUUAU
Molecule: non-coding RNA, 101 nt
Organism: Xenorhabdus doucetiae
Lineage: Bacteria; Pseudomonadati; Pseudomonadota; Gammaproteobacteria; Enterobacterales; Morganellaceae
Source: Rfam